This is a long non-coding RNA of Toxorhynchites rutilus septentrionalis, 11350 nucleotides long. RefSeq lists it as uncharacterized. The transcript is spliced from 3 exons. NCBI's taxonomy places the organism in Eukaryota, Metazoa, Arthropoda, Insecta, Diptera, Culicidae. The record is from RefSeq and is a predicted model, not a curated record.
GUUUGUGGUUUAAAAGAAACAAUAGUAGAAGAACAAACUAAACGAAACCGAAUCGCACAAGGGAAAAGUCGUGCAGAAAUAAGCCCUGACGAGGGACCAAACACAACGACGCUGGUUGACCGCGUUAGCUUUCCAGUCAUCCACAUCGACACCCACGAAGCAGGACUAUCAACAAAACAGCAAGUACUGUGUGUCACCAUUCACCACACGCUCACCCACAAACAGAAUUUCUCAAAUAAAUACCAUCUAUUUAAAUUCAUAACGUUUUUCGAAACAAAUUACACAACGCAGCCCUUUGUUUUCCCUUCAUUUACUUUUGCACUCGUCAUCCAGGUUCAAACGGAACCGCAAGGCUUCGCUCGCCGACAACAGACAGGGUAACCCGUACAGAAGCCUUUGAGUCCAGGUUCGUGAGAUUCUGGUUGGAAAGAAUCGUGUUUUUUUUAUAGAGGUGAGGAACGCUCUUCCAGCCUUAUCUGGGAAGGGAUAACCCAGACGUCGAGUGGGGAUCGCACCCACAAAAAUCAAGCCCUCUACUAGUAGUCUCAUUCCCCCCGGGACCACAUCUAGGCGACUACUUCAGGGGGCGGCUGUGCUCAUGCACUUCACGAGUUUUCAACGCUAACUAACGUUGAUCCUUACCUUUUUCUCUAUAUUCUUAUUCACCAUUCGUUUCUCUCCACUGCGCUUAUGACCAUUUUGCAGGCAUCCAUUUACCCGUCGAGACGUGCACCGAUUAGGAAGCGCCCUCCAACUUAACGCGCGCCCCGUCAUAGUCACCCUCGCAGGAUUUCUCUUCCCAACGGAGCGCCGAUUAGGUAGUGCCCUCCAACCUGACGCGCACUCCGUCACAGCUACUCUCGUGGGGUAUGCACCAUUUUGUCGAUGGCUUCCUCCAUGAUGCUCGCUCCUUCGAAAUGUUCGCAGUGUUCCUCCAUCCAGGCCACGAUAAGGCGUUGCCAGGCAGGCAUUUUUCUGUUCUUCGCGACAGUAUCCGUUUACCUGUCGAGACGUGCACCGAUUAGGAAGCGCCCUCCAACUUCACGCGCGCCCCGUCACAGCCACCCUCGCAGGAUUUCGCUUCCCAAAGGAGCGCCGAUUAGGUAGUGCCCUCCAACAUAAUGCGCACUCCGUCACAGCAACUCUCGUGAGGUACACCGAUUUGGUGACGCCUUCCUAGGCGCUCGCUUCGUCGAAGUCCUCGCAGUAUUAUUCUUUCCAAUCCACCAUGAGGCAUUGCCAAUUUGUCAAUCCUUCUCGCCAGCUUACCCGUUGAGACGUGUACCGAUUAGGAAUUGCCCUCCAACUUGACGUGCAACCCGUCACAGCCACCCUCGCGGGAUUUCUCACCUGUCGAGACGUGAACCGAUUAGGAAGCGCCCUCCAACGUAACGCGCGCUCCGUCACAGUCACCCUCGCAAGAUUUCUCUUCCCAGCGGAGCGCCGAUUAGGUAGUGUCCUUCAACAUAACGCGGACUCCGUCACGGCCGCUCUCGUGGGGUACUCCGGUGCUUCAGAUCUCGCUGUGGUUCAUACUUUAUAGUCAGGAGUUAUCCGCACGCUGGUUGGUCCUCCACUUCCGCUGUAGCUCGGACAUGAUGUGGACGAUUGCACUGUUCACUGCGUUCCAGGUGCACUCCUUACAACACAUUCCCUCUACGAUAUUCCCAGCAUGAAGCGUAGGCAGCCCCUCGCGCCUUGUGGUGAAUCUUGGACAUACAAAUACGACGUGUUCCCGUGUUUCCUCCACAUCUCCACACUCCGGACAAAGAGGCGAUCUUGCAUGUCCAAACCGGUGCAGAUACUGCCUGAAGCAGCCAUGCCCAGACAAAAACUGCGUUAGGUGAAAAUUUACCUCUCCAUGUUUCCUGUUUACCCAGCCCAUUAGUGUCGGUAUGAGCCUGUGCGUCCAUAUGUCGUUUUGAGCCGCACUCCACUCUUGCUGUCACCUAGCCAUCGACUCUGUCCUCAUGAGCUUCCGGAUUCCACUGGUUCCCCUCCUCAUAUAGUACUUGCUGUCUUCCGCCAAGAUGAUGUUGAUAGGGACCAACCUGGCUAUGACGCAGACCGCUUCUGUUGAUAUGGUUCUGUACGCACUCGCGACUUGCAUCGCCAUGAGCCGGUACGUACUAUUCAGCCUCCUCGUGUUCCGCUGAGUUUCUAACGCCGCGAUCCAGGCUGGACCCCCGUAUCGUAAUGUCGAUGAGGAGACACUAGCCAAAAGGUGCCUCUUGCUGCUGCUUGGGUCAAAGUUGUUGGGCAUGAUUCGUGUCAGUGCAUUGAUUGCCUUCGUUGCUUUUUUACAAGCGUAGUCGAAGUGACUGUUGAAGUUCAGUCGAUCAUCGAUCUGCACCCCCAGGUAUUUUAAGUCUCGCUUCGAGGUUAUCGAGUGCUUUCCAAUUGUGAUUUCUGCACGUUACACCGCCCUGCGGUUGCUGACAAUCAGCAUUUCCGUCUUGUGGUGGACUAUCUGCAGUUUCACACUUUGCAUCCACCUUCCGAUCAUGUCUAUCGACUCGGUCGCGAGCAUUUCGACCCGUUCCAAGGAUUCUCCGGUCACGAGAAUAACGAUGUCAUCCGCGAAGCCAGCAGCGAAGCAGAUUCAGUUUUAGUACGCCAUCGUACAUACUGUUCCAGAGCGAUGGACCCAAGAUAGAGCCCUGCGGAACUCCAGCCGUAGUUUUAAUCUGCGCCUGGCCCGUGUUUGUCUCGUACACCAGCACACGGUUCUCGAAGUAGCUUCUCAGUAUUCUACACAGGUAGUCUGGGACUCUCAUCGUGGGGAGCGCAGUCGUGAUGGCCUCCCAGCUGGCACUAUUGAACGCGCUCUUAACGUCGAUCAUUAUCACUGCGUAGUAUCGAUUUCCUCUGAGCUUCUGUUUGGAUGCUCUGUUUGCUCUUUCGACCACUAUGCGAAUGGCAUCUACCGUGGAUCUUUCCGAAAUCCGAAUUGACUAUCGGACAGUCCACGAACUCCCUCCGUGCAUUCCGUCAGCCUAUUCUUUUUCUUUUCUUUUAUUUUAUUUAAUCCAUCUGACAUCAAAUUGUCUUAAUGGACCUAACCAAGUCAGUAUCAAAUACACGCAUUGCGAGUGUCAACUUAUUCUGAAAUAAUCAUUUAAUCUAUUCCGAAGCGCAUUGCUAGCGAGAUUAAAGUCGAAGAUGUGAAAAAUCCUAUUGAAUGUAGCAGACAUAAACUCCAUCGGAUCAUGCUGGCCAUACAAACUAUUCCGGAAAUCGAGCCUAAGGAAAUCACGAUGACGUAGGGUGCGUUCUGGAGCAUACAUGUUUAGAUUAGCUAGCAAGAAAGGGAAGUCAAUCUCGUUCCUCAGCAGCUUCGUAACAAACAUGGCUUGUGCUGCAGAUCGCCUGUUUUCCAGAGUAUCAAUUCGCAGCAGAUUACAGCGUUCCUCGUAAGGAGGCAAUUCCCUUGGAUUCCGCCAUGGAAGAUUCCUCAAAGCACGACGUACGAACUUUCUUUGUACAGAUUCAAUGCGCGCUUUCCAAAUGCUGGGGAAAGGGCACCAUACAACAGAAGCAAAUUCCAGGAUAGAACGAACCAGCGCACAGUAUAGAGAUUUCAAGCUAAGCGGAUCCUUAAAUCCAUUGGUUACCUUCAGAACAAAACCGAGCUGCUUGUUUGCCCUGGAGAUGAUGUCGUUGUAGUGGUAGAUGAAAGUGAACUCCUUGUCAAGCAUUACACCCAAGUCGCGCACUUGUUGAACCCGCUCGAUGGCUUUGCCGGAUAACAUGUAGGAGAAAUUGAUGGGAUUCCGCUUUCUGGUGAACGAUAUAACUUGGCAUUUCUCGACGCUUAACGUCAUACAAUUUCGUACACACCACGACUCAAAAAUGUUCAGCAAGCUUUGAAGAUGAUGACAAUCAUUUAUGUCUUCGACAAUAACGUAGACCUUAGAAUCAUCAGCAUAGAAGAGUCUCGUUCCACGUGGCAGGAUGAAGGACACGUCGUUUAUAAAUAAUGCGAAAAGUAAGGGGCCUAAAUUGCUCCCCUGAGGCACUCCAGAUAUGUUUGUGAACGGCUCGGACUCAUGUGACCCUUUUCUCACACACAAAGCUCGAUUCUUCAGGUAGGACUCGAACCACUCGACAAAACCAAGGGCUACGCCACAUUUCGCUAGUUUUUCGAGAAGGAUUUGAUGAUCAACCCGGUCAAAAGCUGCCUUCAAGUCCAAGUAGACGGCAUCCACUUGGUUACCAGCAUCCAUGGCGCGAAUACAACGCGAUGAGAACUCAACUAGAUUGGUGUUCACGGAUCUUUGUGGGUAGAAACCAUGCUGAUUCGUUGAGAUGUGCUGCUUGCAACUAGCAAAAAGCGAUUCAUUUAUAAUGAUCUCAAACAGCUUCGAGCAGGCGCAAAGAGAAGUAAUGCCGCGAUAAUUUUUAACAUCUCGUUUAUCUCCUUUCUUGUGGAUGGGGAAUAGGUACGAUUUUUUCCAGCUCGAGGGAAACACACGUUGCUGCAGUGAUCGAUUAAAAAGUUUCGUCAGCGGAGAGGCCAGUGCAGAACUGCAUUUUUUCAACACUGCAGGUGAAAUUCCAUCCGGGCUUGGAGCAUACGAGAAUUUAAGCCUUUGAAUUGCUUUGACUACAUCCUGUUCAGAUAUUUCGAACAUUUCAACGCUAUAUACAUCCCGGGGAGCAUCCUGGACAGAUAAUCUCACCUGUUCAGGUUGAGCUGUAUAACUGUUGAAGGCGCGUUUGAACUGUCGUGCAAAUAGUUCGCAUUUUCCACUGAUCGAGUCAGCAGAAAGUUCGUCAAGAUACAUUGAUGUCGGGAGACCUUUUUCAUUUCGCUUUGAGUUGACGAACGACCAGAACCGUUUUGGAUUCACACGUAGGCUCUCCUCAAUACGAAUCUUGUAUCUGGCAUACAAAAAUCCAUUGUAUCUCCUGUACUCAUUACUGGUCCGAUUGAACUGCAGCUUCGAGUGUUGAGAACGUUGACUGCAGUAGGAACGUAGAGCAGCAGAUCGACGACGUUUCAGCAAGCGUAAACGGUUGUUUGACCAUGGCGGUUUACACGGAGGAGACUUCAAAGGAACGUGUGCUGUAAUCGCCUGAAGUACAGCGUUGGAGAAGAAUCCAACUGCUCUAUCGGUAUCUUGAAUCGUGUCCAGAGUAUUCCAGUCGACCACGAGUAAUGCUGCACAUAAAUGCUCAAAAUUGGCCCGUUUGAAAUCGAAACCAGGAUCGUUACGUUCUGUUUCGUAUGUUACAGCCGUUGGAUAUGCAACGAUUAGCUCGAGUGGAGGAUGACGAGGAUCAAUCCUAGAGAGCGAUUCAACGGAUUCGCUAAUCUGGUAACCAGGUAGCACGAUGUCGUUUACGAGGACAAGAUCAAGAGUCCUGUUCUCUGCAUUCUCCAAGCUGUUAAUUUGGGACAAGCCGUGGAAGCAGAAACCAUCCAGAAAUGAGCAGCUGGCAGCACACGGUCGAGAGCGAUCCAGAUCAACUGACGCGUAGCCAUCCUCGUUAACAGCCCAGUGCACAUCACAGAGAUUAUAAUCACCAAACUGCAGUGCAAUGUCGUUAGGAGAGAGAUUCGAAUGGAUUGUGCCAAUUGAAUCGAUGUGUUUACGAAUAGCAGAGAUGUCAUUCUUUCUACUUGGAAAAUAGAGAACUCCAAUACUAACGAUUCUAUCCAUGGAUUCAAUCCUGAUCCAGAGGAAAAUAGAGAACUCCAAUACUAACGAUUCUAUCCAUGGAUUCAAUCCUGAUCCAGAGCUGUUCAAGCGUAACGUCGACCGGUGUUGGAUCUAUAUAGGAGCUGUAUCUAGACGAAACAGCAAUAAAUACUCCACCACCCGUUGAUUUGCGGCUGUUUUGAGCAUUGCGAUCCGUUCUGUAAACAGAGUAGCCGUUCCCGAAGAGUUGCGACGAAUAGAUGCAAUCAUCUAACCAGGUCUCAGUGAGCACAACCAUGUCGUAAUCAGCAUCGCUGAUAGUCAGGAAAAAAGCAUCGAUUUUGGUACGUAAUCCACGUUCUGGUAAUAGAUGCGUAGGCUACUGAAAGGUACAGAAGCAUCAGGGGAGUAACCGUUGAUUUGUGUGUCAUACUUGCCGUAUGGAGCAAGCUGGAAAAUCCCUUCGCCAGACCCUCUAGCAGGACCGGGACGACUGGUGAGCGCAGGCUGGAUGGUCACGACUGCAGAGGGCGGCUCGGGAAUUUCCAAAAUGCUCGAUGACGUGCGUCCCGGUUGAGAAGCCAUGUUCAAAGGGCGAGAGGUGGAUUUACUUAAGCUGGAUGUGCAGGCUGGAUGACCAUUUUCAGGUGAAUCAGAGGCAGAAGGGACUGACAGACAGCGAGGAGUAUAAGAUCGAUGAUGAAUGUUGGUCCGUUCGACUGAGUCUGAUGAUGAAUGUUGGUCCGUUCGACUGAGUCUGAGUGGUUGUGGGCUCUCUUGGUGCUUUGCAGCAUGCAUCCCGGUUGAAUAAUAUCCAACGUUGAACGGGAACAGUCUAAAUCGUUUUGGUAGUGGAUGCGUAGGCUACUGGAAGGUACAGUAGCAUCAGGACAGUAUUUGUUGAUUGGUUUUUUUUUUUUUUUUUUUAUCUGUAUUACAGUGACUUUCAACUCAUUUGGCUGGUUCGUCACUUUUACUUCCAUUUUUGGAAGAAUGUCGGGAGUGAGAAUUGAACUCGUGACCUUUAGCGUGAGAGGCAUGGAUGUUACCACUACGCCAGAUCGCCUCCUUGUUGAUUGGUGUGUAGUACUUGCCGAAUGAAGCAAGCUGGAAGAUCCCUUCGCCAGGCCCUCUAGCAGGACCGGGACGACUGGUGAUCGCAGGCUGGAUGGUCACGACUGCAGAGGGUGGCUCGGGGAUUUCCAAAAUGCUCGAUGACGUGCGUCCCGCUAGAGAAGCCAUGCCUAAAAGGGGAGAGGUGGGACUGGAAGUGCAGGCUGGAUGUCCAAGGUCCAAGGUCCAAAGGUCCAAGGUUGAACGGGAACAAUUUAAAUUAAGCGAGGAGUUUUUGUAAACCCCUGCUCAACUUUCUUAUCUUGAUUAUUUACGAAUUCCCGAAAGUAAACUCCGUCUGGCCACGUGUCUGCACUUAGAGCUACCUCACGAUACUUUUCAUCGACACCAAUUUUAAAAGAAAUGAACCGCAUAGAAGAUAAAUCAGCAUUAGGUUAGUGUAGUUAUAAUUUAAGCUAGUAAUGUAAAUCAAGUAGUGUAAAUAAAAUAGUUGAUAAAAGACAUUAUUCCGUGUGUUGAUUCUCACAGUGUUAACGAGUUUUAUUUAGCAGCUGAUUCAACGAGAGUGGUCGUCAGCGUAGAUCAGCGAGUGGAAAGUUUCGCAGCACGCAGCUUUUCAUCCAGCUACUUCCCGGCGACUGUGAUUGUCGCAUGCGUGAGGCAUCACCAGCUGUUCAGUUAAUCCGAGGAAAGGUCACGAGCAUCUUUGCCUCUUCCCCAACCAUAUACAGUCCACAAUCGAACCAAACAGUUGCUAUUUAUUUACUGCGUGGGGAGGAAAGUACAAAAAUGCACAGAACAAAUGAAUGAGAAAAUGGUGAUGUUUCAAUUUUUUUUUCAAUUUGUACCAUUAUUGAACUAGGGUAAUGUACAGCAGAACCAGAACCGUUUUGGAUUCACACGUAGGCUCUCCUCAAUACGAAUCUUGUAUCUGGCAUACAAAAAUCCAUUGUAUCUCCUGUACUCAUUACUGGUCCGAUUGAACUACAGCUUCGAGUGUUGAGAACGUUGACUGCAGUAGGAACGUAGAGCAGCAGAUCGACGACGUUUCAGCAAGCGUAAACGGUUGUUUGACCAUGGCGGUUUACACGGAGGAGACUUCAAAGGAACGUGUGCUGUAAUCGCCUGAAGUACAGCGUUGGAGAAGAAUCCAACUGCUCUAUCGGUAUCUUGAAUCGUGUCCAGAGUAUUCCAGUCGACCACGAGUAAUGCUGCACAUAAAUGCUCAAAAUUGGCCCGUUUGAAAUCGAAACCAGGAUCGUUACGUUCUGUUUCGUAUGUUACAGCCGUUGGAUAUGCAACGAUUAGCUCGAGUGGAGGAUGACGAGGAUCAAUCCUAGAGAUUUGUACCAUUAUUGAACUAGGGUAAUGUACAGCACCUUAAACACAUCUUAGAAAAAAUUUUAUUGGUAUGCUAAUCAACAGCAAAAAAAUAAUAAGUACAAUAAAAUUGUUUCAUGAAAAUGUGACAUGGUUCCUGAAUUCAAAACCUCCAUGAGAGACAUAAAUACGUAAGUACAGGGAUAUCGUAACGGUGACGGAGCCUAUAUCCAGGACCAGGAUAUCUGCCACAACAAGCUGUGUAAUGAUGUGUGUAAUCACACUAAAUGAUUCACUAGUUGUGCCGGAAACGCUGGUAAUGUAUAUAAUAAUCAAACCCUAAAGCGGACCUUACACGGUCAACUUUAUUGACAAUAUGAUGACAUUUGAGAGCAUAAUGACAGCUGAACAUGGCCGACAACGCAGAAAUCCGGAUUUUCUGAUUUUCGGGCAUCAAUAUCGUGACAUUUCAUAUGGAUACAUGAUGUUGACGUUUUACCUCACGGACUUCCAGACUGAGUUGCCAGAUUUGCAAGCGGACAUUUAAUGUUUGUUAGUCUUUUUUGCGAUUGCAAUUAAAAUUUAUAAACUUCUGAAAUUGUAGCAAUCAUAAAUGAAAGCUUUUGGUUUGGAAAACUGAUAUAGUAAUUUACAUUUAAUGCGACAUGCCGGAGUACCACUCAGUGUCGCAUUGGAGGCGAUUUGACCUGUAAUUGGACAUUGAAGAUGAGAGUGGUACAGCGUCGACGUCUGGCGGCGAAUGUCAAUGUGGGGCCAUAAUUUGGGCCCGAACUCGAUGUUUACAAAAAUGUCUAACUAAACGUGUCGUAUAUAGGUCUGUCCAAUUAGAAAAAUGUCGCAUUAAAUGUAAAUUACUGUACCUAAAAUAGCAAAAUACAGUACUUUUCGCAAUACAAACCAAAACCUCAAAGUAACUGACAAUGUGAUGGUGAGAGAGUGAAUGAAAAUUAACAACGUCUUAGGAAUGUUUAAAACAUUGAACUCGGUCAUUCUUUGCGCUAGCGAGCGGGGCAGCCACUUUAGUCUAAGUUGUGUGUUUCUUCACACUCCGCUAUAAAAUUUGGAGAAUGAGAAGAUCUGGGAAAAUCACAGGUGAAAAAACAUCACGUGUUAAUUCAAGUUACAGUAGAAUCCCGAUUAUCCGUGAAUAGUCGGGAUGAUUUUUAAACAUAGAAACUAUGUUUUAUCAAUACAGAAAUAGAUACAGAUACAGAUAAUCGGGGUUCUACUGUCAUAGUCUUAUUUAUCGAAUAAAAACAUUUGCUUGCAGAUAAUAUAAUUUGCAUAUAUUUUCACAAUCUAAAAUAAUUUGGCAUCCCUGAAACUGAAAGGAUCAGUCUGUAUUUGUGAAGCGAGUAUUAUGAUGUGUUUUUGAGAAGGAAAAACGAGUUUUAAAGUGUAAAUUAUGAAUGAAAAUUAACUUUUCCAAAUCAAAUUAGUAUUCUAUGUGAAUGCAAAUCACUUUUUUUCUGCAAGUGGUGAGAAAAUCCCAUACAAAAAUUGUAUCUGAAACUGAAGUUAUAUAAUAAUAAUAAAUUUUAGUAGGAAUAUCUGAAAAUUCAUAGAAAAUAGGUUAAGUUAGAGUUAGGACUACGCGCUUCAACUAAUUAAAUAAUACCAAGUAGAUAUUUUCAUUCAAAUUUUACCAAUUGAAAAUUGCAAUUUAGCCUUCUAAUCUGAUGGAAUCCCAAACUCGAAUGUCACCACUAGCCAACGCGGAUAUUUUCGUUGUCUCGGGUUGAGGGCGAUAUUGACCGUGUAAGGUGGCAAAAUAUUGAUUGAGGUUAGAUCGGAUGUCGAAAGCCUAGCUGUCACGAUAUUGAAGACACUUAUUGUCAAUCAGUUUGAUCGUGUAAGGUGCCCAUAAGGACAGGACUGUUGUUGUCACCAAUUUGCAGGGCUGCAAUCGGCUAAAAACGACCCUAAUGAAAAUAUUUUGACUACACUGGAGGAAAACAUUAGUAAAUGCAACUACAAAAUCUUUAGUAGUUGAAACAUUGGUAAAAUGUACGCAUUUUUCGUAAAUAUUACCAAAACUUUGUAAAACGGAUGUCUUAUGCAAUACACAUCCCUACUAAAGGUUCGUACAUUUUACUUCAUAGCAUGUGUAACCUUGAUUGUUUUCAUUUCUAGGAACUGUAAUGUCCGUACUUCGCAGUCGUCAUUCCUCUUGAUGAAACAAAGCUAUUCGGAGCUUCUAAUCUUGGAUUCAAAUUGCACAGUUGACUAUUCAAUGUAUAUUAGACUGAACAUGUGCAACACAAAGAAAUCUCAGGAAACGGGAGAGCAAAUAAUGCGGAUGAAAUGAACUGCGAUCUGGUCCCAUCAACUGCCAACUAAUCAGUUGUUCCUGUCCUAAAGGAUGAAAAUGUGCAACAGUAAAAGGAGCAAAACCUUGAUGAGUGAUAACAACAGUAAAAGGAGCAAAACCUUGAUGAGUGAUGAUGUUUUUUCAAAAAAAAACAUAUGAGAUUGAUUCGGUCGAAACUGCGAUUAAAUCUGCACGAGCAAUGUUUAGAUGUAGAAUGUAGGAUGUAGGAAAUUACUGUGUAAAAGAUAAUGUAUGAUUGAGGACAGCUUUUUAAAUAAGAAUUAAUUAUCAACAACAUAAUGUCAUUAUCCCUUAUCAUUAUCUCUUACAAAUUAAAAACAACGCUUUCACUGAUGCUGCUCCAAUGGUGGGCCAACAUGCCCACCAUCCUACAAAAAAAUGCCUACCAAUUUCCUUUUGUAAGAUAUACCAAUGAUUAGUAGGGUAGAAAAUGACUAACGAAUUGGUAACAUUUACAAAAAAAAUCGUCAUAUAUACUAAAUUUUCCUCUCAGUGUAGUAAUCUAGAUCGAACAGUCGAAUACAAACUUGCGGCUUAAGCGGAAGUUUGGUCAGAAAAGAAUUUAUAAUACAGGUAAACCUGUUUUGUGCGAGGGACUGUGUCCGCACAAAACAGAUCGUACACAACUUCACCAUUAGCUUUAAAAAAAAAUUUCGCUACACAAUUUAAAAAAAAAUCGUGCCUUGUGGUCCCUCAUAAAAAAGCUUCCCAAUAAAAUAACUCUAAUCCUACACUGAGAGGAAUCAUUAGUAAAUAUUACUAAUUUUUUGGUACAUGUUACCAAUUCCCGAGUGAUUUUCUACCCUACUAAUCAUUGGUACAUUCUACGAAAACAGAUUGGUAGGUUUAUAUGUCAAACGAAACUACGAUCCGGACUGUACUACUGGUCCAGUGUUGGAUCAAUAUCAGCUCAAUGAAGGUGAUUUGUCGGUUCAAUAAAGGGCGUUUGUUGAUUAAC